UGGAUGAUGUGGAUUAAUUCGAUGCAACGCGAAGAACCUUACACCCUUGACAUGUCCGGAACUUGCCAGAGAUGGCUUGGUGCCCGAAAGGGAACCGGAACACAGGUGCUGCAUGGCUGUCGUCAGCUCGUGUCGUGAGAUGUUGGGUUAAGUCCCGCAACGAGCGCAACCCUUGUCCUUAGUUGCUACGCAAGAGCACUCUAAGGAGACUGCCGGUGACAAACCGGAGGAAGGUGGGGAUGACGUCAAGUCCUCAUGGCCCUUAUGGGUAGGGCUUCACACGUCAUACAAUGGUCGGUACAGAGGGUUGCCAAGCCGCGAGGUGGAGCCAAUCCCACAAAGCCGAUCGUAGUCCGGAUUGUUCUCUGCAACUCGAGAGCAUGAAGUCGGAAUCGCUAGUAAUCGCAGGUCAGCAUACUGCGGUGAAUACGUUCCCGGGUCUU
RNAcentral lists this ribosomal RNA (443 nucleotides) under uncultured Thiobacillus sp. RNAcentral's name for it is "bacterial SSU rRNA". It matches the Rfam family "Bacterial small subunit ribosomal RNA", at positions 933 to 1382 of the family's 1533-position model. The record is from RNAcentral. Lineage: Bacteria; Pseudomonadati; Pseudomonadota; Betaproteobacteria; Nitrosomonadales; Thiobacillaceae.